This 383-nucleotide ribosomal RNA is filed under the name Ixodes ricinus (castor bean tick). RNAcentral describes it as "partial large subunit ribosomal RNA". The stretch from base 244 to 383 matches the Rfam family "Bacterial large subunit ribosomal RNA", at positions 2473 to 2613 of the family's 2925-position model. Lineage: Eukaryota; Metazoa; Arthropoda; Arachnida; Ixodida; Ixodidae. The record is from RNAcentral.
GAGUGCUAGAGAAUGAUUAAACAAUUAAAAGCUUUCUUUAAUUAAAUAAUUGAAUUUAAUUUUUUUAGUGCAAAAGCAAAAAUAAAAAUUAGGGACAAGAAGACCCUAUGAAUUUUUUAUUAAAUUUUAUAUAAAGUUUUAUAAAAUUUAAUUUAAUUGGGGUGAUGGAAAAAGAAUAAAUAUCUUUUUUUUUAAANAAAAUUGGUUCCGUUUUUAGCGAUUAAAUGAAAAAAAUACUCUAGGGAUAACAGCGUAAUAAUUUUGGAUAGUUCAUAUAGAUAAAAUAGUUUGCGACCUCGAUGUUGGAUUAGGAUUCUUUUUUGGUGAANAAGUUAAAAAAANAAGUUUGUUCAACUUAUAAUUUCCUACUUGAUCUGAGUUCA